UAGGAUGUAGCUCAGUGGUAGAGCAUUUGCUUAGCAUAUACAAGGCCGUGGGUUCAAUUCCCAGCAAUAUUAA
RNAcentral lists this transfer RNA (73 nucleotides) under Marmota monax (woodchuck). Its description in RNAcentral is "tRNA.Ala". It matches the Rfam family "tRNA". From Rfam's summary of the family: Transfer RNA (tRNA) molecules are approximately 80 nucleotides in length. Their secondary structure includes four short double-helical elements and three loops (D, anti-codon, and T loops). The record is from RNAcentral. Lineage: Eukaryota; Metazoa; Chordata; Mammalia; Rodentia; Sciuridae.